This 484-nucleotide ribosomal RNA is filed under the name uncultured bacterium. RNAcentral describes it as "partial 16S ribosomal RNA". It matches the Rfam family "Bacterial small subunit ribosomal RNA", at positions 29 to 507 of the family's 1533-position model. The record is from RNAcentral.
AUUGAACGCUGGCGGCAUGCUUUACACAUGCAAGUCGAACGGCAGCGCGGGCUUCGGCCUGGCGGCGAGUGGCGAACGGGUGAGUAAUACAUCGGAACGUGCCCAGUAGUGGGGGAUAGCUCGGCGAAAGCCGGAUUAAUACCGCAUACGACCUGAGGGUGAAAGCGGGGGAUCUUCGGACCUCGCGCUAUUGGAGCGGCCGAUAGCAGAUUAGCUAGUUGGUGGGGUAAAGGCCUACCAAGGCGACGAUCUGUAGCUGGUCUGAGAGGACGACCAGCCACACUGGGACUGAGACACGGCCCAGACUCCUACGGGAGGCAGCAGUGGGGAAUUUUGGACAAUGGGCGAAAGCCUGAUCCAGCAAUGCCGCGUGUGUGAUGAAGGCCUUCGGGUUGUAAAGCACUUUUGGCGGGAACGAAAAGGACUGUGCCAAUACCACGGUUCGAUGACGGUACCCGCAGAAUAAGCACCGGCUAACUACGCG